GAUGAACGCUAGCUACAGGCUUAACACAUGCAAGUCGAGGGGUAACAAGAGAAAAGCUUGCUUUUCCUGUUGACGACCGGCGCACGGGUGAGUAACGCGUAUCCAACCUGCCUAUAACUAGGGAAUAACCUUGCGAAAGUAAGACUAAUACCCUAUGAUUUCCUUUGAUGGCAUCAGAUUAGGAAUAAAGAUUUAUCGGUUAUAGAUGGGGAUGCGUCUGAUUAGCUUGUUGGCGGGGUAACGGCCCACCAAGGCAACGAUCAGUAGGGGUUCUGAGAGGAAGGUCCCCCACAUUGGAACUGAGACACGGUCCAAACUCCUACGGGAGGCAGCAGUGAGGAAUAUUGGUCAAUGGGCGGAAGCCUGAACCAGCCAAGUAGCGUGCAGGAUGACGGCCCUAUGGGUUGUAAACUGCUUUUAUACAGGAAUAAAGUUAGCCACGUGUGGUUAUUUGUAGGUACUGUAUGAAUAAGGACCGGCUAAUUCCGUGCCAGCAGCCGCAGUAA
This 506-nucleotide ribosomal RNA is filed under the name uncultured bacterium. RNAcentral's name for it is "partial 16S ribosomal RNA". It matches the Rfam family "Bacterial small subunit ribosomal RNA", at positions 28 to 523 of the family's 1533-position model. The record is from RNAcentral.